GCCGCAGUAUUUUGACUGUGCAAAGGUAGCAUAAUCAUUAGUUUUUUAAUUGAAAGCUGGAAUGAAGGGUCGGAUGAGAAGACAGCUGUCUCACUUUAAUUUUAUUUGAAUUUUAUUUUUGAGUUAAAAAGCUUAAAUUUUAUAAGAAGACGAGAAGACCCUAUAGAGUUUAAUAAAUUCUGGUUUUAUUUAUUUUGGUUUUAAUUCUAAUAAUAUUGGUUUUUAUUUUGUUGGGGUGACACUAGAAUUGGAUUAACUUCUUAUAAUUUAACCACUGAUUAGUGAUUAUUUGAUCCUGAUGUUUUGGAUUACAAGAAUAAAUUACCUUAGGGAUAACAGCGUAAUUUUUUUGGAGAGUUCUUAUCGAUAAAGAAGAUUGCGACCUCGAUGUUGGAUUAAAGUUAAUUUUUGGUGUAGAAGCUAAGAUUUUA
Molecule: ribosomal RNA, 431 nt
Filed under: Prionotolytta eremita
Lineage: Eukaryota; Metazoa; Arthropoda; Insecta; Coleoptera; Meloidae
Description: partial large subunit ribosomal RNA
Rfam family: Bacterial large subunit ribosomal RNA
Source: RNAcentral